UACGUAGGGGGCAAGCGUUGUCCGGAAUUACUGGGCGUAAAGGGUGCGUAGGCGGCCUAAUAAGUCAGAUGUGAAAUACCGAGGCUCAACCUCGGAGGUGCAUUUGAAACUGUUGGGCUUGAGUGCAGGAGAGGAAAGUGGAAUUCCUAGUGUAGCGGUGAAAUGCGUAGAGAUUAGGAGGAACACCAGUGGCGAAGGCGACUUUCUGGACUGUAACUGACGCUGAGGCACGAAAGCGUGGGGAGCAAACAGGAUUAGAUACC
RNAcentral lists this ribosomal RNA (263 nucleotides) under uncultured bacterium. Its description in RNAcentral is "partial 16S ribosomal RNA". It matches the Rfam family "Bacterial small subunit ribosomal RNA", at positions 524 to 786 of the family's 1533-position model. The record is from RNAcentral.